Molecule: ribosomal RNA, 325 nt
Filed under: uncultured Thaumatomonas
Lineage: Eukaryota; Cercozoa; Imbricatea; Thaumatomonadida; Thaumatomastigidae
Description: SSU rRNA
Rfam family: Eukaryotic small subunit ribosomal RNA (bases 107-325)
Source: RNAcentral
GAUUUCUGGUUUGAUGCGUUUGGCCCUCUCGGAGCAAUCCGGCGUGCGUGCCGAUGCGCGUCUGCCAUCCCUUGUAGAGAACGUUUCUACCCUUCACUGGGCCGGAUUCGCAAUCUACAUCUUUUACUUUGAAAAAAUUAGAGUGUUUAAAGCAGGCUUGUGCUAUGAAUACAUUAGCAUGGAAUAAUAAUUUAGGACUUUGGUUCUAUUUUGUUGGUUUCUAGGACUGAAGUAAUGAUUGAUAGGGAUAGUUGGGGGUGCUCGUAUUUAACGGUCAGCGGUGAAAUGCAUGGACCCGUUAAAGACGAACCUAUGCGAAAGCAUU